GCCCGGCUAGCUCAAUCGGUAGAGCGUGAGACUCUUACAAACUCACGUAAUCUCAAGGUUGUGGGUUCGACCCCCACGUCGGGCU
Non-coding RNA from Chaetomidium leptoderma, 85 nucleotides. NCBI's taxonomy places the organism in Eukaryota, Fungi, Ascomycota, Sordariomycetes, Sordariales, Chaetomiaceae. The record is from the annotation of a GenBank genome assembly.